This 70-nucleotide transfer RNA is filed under the name Grapsus albolineatus. RNAcentral describes it as "tRNA-Lys". Lineage: Eukaryota; Metazoa; Arthropoda; Malacostraca; Decapoda; Grapsidae. The record is from RNAcentral.
CGCCAGGUGACUGAAAGUAAGUGUAGAUCUUUUAAGUCUAAAAUGGUAUAGUUACGCCUACUUCUGGUGA